Long non-coding RNA from Manduca sexta (tobacco hornworm), 1540 nucleotides. RefSeq lists it as uncharacterized. The record is from RefSeq and is a predicted model, not a curated record. NCBI's taxonomy places the organism in Eukaryota, Metazoa, Arthropoda, Insecta, Lepidoptera, Sphingidae. The transcript is spliced from 2 exons.
AUAGCCGUUAGCGUCAGCGGCCAAGUGACGUGGACGUAGUCAGUCUCUCUUGCCAAAUGACUCAGUAGCGAUAUAAAAUCGAGCCGGCAAUCUAAACAUCGCACAUUUCGCAUCAAACCACCGCGCUACACGUUGCUAUUUAAAUUAAUAUAUAUUUCUAAUGUUUGUAAACGGUACCGAGAACAUAACGUCUCGAUUGGGAAAUAUUCAUUUGAGUGUUCAAAGUAAUAUGCAGCCGAAAGCCGACAGACCGCCGAUGUGCCCUAAGGGGCAACUGCCACAACUCCACCUGACGCCGUCGGGCGGACAGAAAAAAGGCGACACAGGAUCACCGCAACUAGGGGCUGGCAACCCGAGCCUAUUGAAGCCUCAACACGACAUCCCACCCACACCGCCGCCUCAAACCAAGCCGCAGCCCCCCGAGUUUUUCCCACAAAGAAUAGGAUAGCCAACCGGCAUCAAUCACUAGAAUAAAAUAUUGUUAUAAAUGGCAACUUGCCAUUUUGUUGGAACACGGGCUUUUCGGAGUCGUAUAAAAAUACGCCUCGUUAUAUUAUAAGCUUCGUAGACGUCGGAGACGUUUGAGGGAAUUCAGCCGCAAUGGGUUAGUGCGUCAGUGGAUGGUGUUUUGGUAACGAUAAGUAUUUGAGACUGUUGUGUCCACGUGUGAUCAGUAACGUGCCGGAUGAAUGCAAUUUAUUAGUAGUGUUAUUAGGAAAUAUUGAAUAUAUUAUUCCUAUGGUUAUUUAAAUGUGUUUCGUGGAUUCCUAGUUAUGAACGUACCUUGAUGAUAAGUACAAGUCAAAUAAAUGUCUAAAUGGGAGAAUCAUUAACAAUUCCUACUAGUAGAGUCAUGGCAGCUUAUUUUUAGUAUUUUUAAAUAAUGAUUUAGAAUAAAACAAUUUACUAAAUGAUCGCAAAUUGCAUUUGUUUUCAAUAAAGAUGUCAAUAUGCAUGUAAUGUGCCAAAUUUGUAACUAUACAUUAAUUUCAGAUAUACUCAUUGUCAAUUACUAACCAUAAAAAUAUUUAAUCAAUGCAAAUUUAAACCUUAUUGUAACCACUGUAAAUAUAAAUACAAGUAAAUGUUUUGCGAAAAAGAAAAUUAUUUCUAUACUGCCUGCAAUAUCGCUAAGCGCUACGGCCAAUAAGAAGCCUUACGAUGUACUGUGAGCCAGUAUUAUACACCUACAUAUUAUACUUAAGAAAUGUCAUGCAAAGAAUUUGUAAAUAGCAAAACGAACGGGGGUUGGGUCAGUCACUUUUACCCUAAUUUUCGUCUUACCACGCAUGUGUAACCGUCAUUAUACUCAGCACGUGUUUAUUUAUUUAAAUGGUUAAACCUAAUUAGAUAUUAUAUCUUAUGAAUUUUGAUAGUGUGAUCCAAAAAGAAACGAUAAAACAAAUGAUAACAGUUUAACUAACUUUUAAAUAACUUAAUAUUAUACUGGAUGCAUUAUCAUUAUCUUUUGUUAGUUAUCAUUGAAUAUAUCCUGAUAUAUUAAGGUGAAUAAUAUAAAAAAAUACGAAGCGGCUGUAAA